This 449-nucleotide unclassified non-coding RNA is filed under the name Hevea brasiliensis (rubber tree). Lineage: Eukaryota; Viridiplantae; Streptophyta; Magnoliopsida; Malpighiales; Euphorbiaceae. The record is from RNAcentral.
UGAUAAACGUCAGGAAGCUGAAGACCUACACUCGCAGCCGAUUUUCCUAGUAUUCUUUUCAUUUCAUCUGAUCUAUCCACAGCAAUAUUGUAAGAGAAUAACAAUUCCUUGUGAUGGUGCACACUAUUAAGCAGAAAAGUAUAAUCACGAGCAAGCUUGAUUUUCUGCUGAAUGGAUGAUUGGUCAGACAGAUUGCUGUUCUUCCGGAAUUCUAGCAUUGCGAAUUCACCAAAAUGCUUCUUGUAAUCUUCCUUGCCAAUGUGUUUCUUAAUAGCUUUGAGAAGCUGUCGAUAAGCCUUCAAAGCAUGUAAAGCUUCAGAACUCAUUUUCCAACACCACACACCACAGAUAACUUGUCAAAACCAAUUUCCUUGUUCAAUCUUCUGGUCAUAGGAGGACGAGAGAGCUUUUCCUUUAUUGAUUCGCGGGUGAUUCGGCGAGUCUACUCG